Molecule: antisense RNA, 250 nt
Filed under: Brenneria salicis ATCC 15712 = DSM 30166
Lineage: Bacteria; Pseudomonadati; Pseudomonadota; Gammaproteobacteria; Enterobacterales; Pectobacteriaceae
Description: SgrS RNA
Rfam family: SgrS RNA
About the family: In sugar transport-related sRNA (SgrS) is induced under conditions of glucose phosphate stress in E.coli.
Source: RNAcentral
GGAGGUGGCUUAUGGCGAUUUCCCGGUUGUACCAGUUUUAUCGGGGUUAUCUUUCGGCGUGCCAGGCGAAAUGGUUGCGUUGGAUGUCCGCUCAGCAGCGGUUGGCAUUAUUGCAGCAGGCGACGCAGUGGCACUUAGAGGAGAUGUCGGAAGAGGAAUACCGUCACUGGAUCUAGCCGUGAGAAAUUAGAGAAAACUUCUGAGUAAUGGUGCUUUUCACCAGCCAGCGGAUAUUUCGCUGGCUUUUUUU